GUUUGUAGUUACACCUCUGGUUGGAGAGUCAGUACAACAAGUUUGGGGUGAAUAUGGUAUAGUUGGAGGAGUGAGUGUAACAGGUCAAGGGGAGGUGAAUGUGGGGACAGGGUAAAUGUGGGGGGAUGAGUGUGGCACAUUUGGAAUAGGGAGUGUUACAGGACAAGGGGAGGUGAUCAUGACAGAGUGACAGGAUUGGGGAGG
Non-coding RNA from Pelobates cultripes (western spadefoot toad), 204 nucleotides. Lineage: Eukaryota; Metazoa; Chordata; Amphibia; Anura; Pelobatidae. The record is from the annotation of a GenBank genome assembly.